This is a non-coding RNA of Pangasius djambal, 73 nucleotides long. NCBI's taxonomy places the organism in Eukaryota, Metazoa, Chordata, Actinopteri, Siluriformes, Pangasiidae. The record is from the annotation of a GenBank genome assembly.
UGCACGGUGGUGCAGGAGGUAGCAUUGCUGCUUCACAGCUCCAGGAGCCCAGGUUCGAUCCCUGGUUGUGUAG